RNAcentral lists this ribosomal RNA (1571 nucleotides) under Cnemaspis limi. Its description in RNAcentral is "16S ribosomal RNA". It matches the Rfam family "Bacterial large subunit ribosomal RNA", at positions 581 to 2856 of the family's 2925-position model. Lineage: Eukaryota; Metazoa; Chordata; Lepidosauria; Squamata; Gekkonidae. The record is from RNAcentral.
GCCCCCUCUAGCCGUCACUAAACCCAAAUCACCCCUCCAAAAUUUAAACCAAACCAUUUGCCUCGCCAAGUAUCAGAGACAGAACAGCCCCUCACCCGCGCAAUAGUAGAUAGUACCGCAAGGAAACACUGAAAGAAAGCACCACCAACACAAAGCACACCACAGCAGUGACACCCCCCCGUACCUUUUGCAUCAUGGUUUAACAAGCCCAUCGCAGAUAAAGAGUCCCUACACCUGCCCCCCCGAAACCAGGCGAGCUACCUCAAGGCAAUUCUAACGGAAUCAACCCAUCUCUGUAGCAAAAGAGCGGGAAGACCUUCAGGUAGAGGUGAAACGCCAACCGAGCCUGGUGAUAGCUGGUUGCUCACUAAAUGAACACAGUUCAACUCUAAUACAAUAACACACCCCCCUCUGCCCCCCCCCCCCCACUAGAAGAUAGACAACAGAGGUACAGCUCUUUUGUCCUCGGAUACAGCCGACACUGGUGACAACAUUUUCCCCCACGCCCGUAGGCCUUCAAGCAGCCACCAAAAAUAAACCGCAUCAACGCGCAUAAUCUAACAGAUUCCACCAAUUUUACCCCACCCCAAUUAAAACCGAGCCAUCCUAUAAACCCAUUAGACGAGACACUGUUAAAACUAGUAAUAUGAUAUACAUCUCACCGCACCCCCCUACACCAGCACAGACACCCUACCGGUAUUUACCAGACCCAAACUUCAGCCCAUACUCACCCACAAGCCAAUCUAUCCCAUCGCCCUGUCACCCCAACACAGGCGUGCGCCCGUGAUCGAUCGAAAGCUGCAAAAGGAAUUCAGCUAAUCUGUCCCACCUGUUUACCAAAAACAUGGCCUUUAGCCCACCAAGUAUUAAAGGUCCCGCCUGCCCAGUGAAACCUAUUUUUAACGGCCGCGGUAUCCUAACCGUGCAAAGGUAGCGUAAUCAUUUGUCCCCUAAAUAGGGACCUGUAUGAACGGCUAACUGAGGACAUACCUGUCUCUUGCAGCCCUUCAAUGAAACUGCUCUUCCAGUACAAAAGCUGGACUAAAACCACAAGACGAGAAGACCCUGUGGAGCUUUAAACACAGCCUUGCCAUCCACACCCUACAACCCCAAGGGCGCCACCACCACCACGCGCAAGGCUAGUUUUCAGUUGGGGCGACUACGGAAUAAAACAAAACUUCCACGAAACAUCCACUCGCCAAAGGACCACAUACCACUGGCGCAUUCAAUAACGACCCAGCAUUGCUGAACAACGAACCAAGUUACCCCAGGGAUAACAGCGCAAUCUUCCCCCAGAGUCCAUAUCACCAGGAAGGUUUACGACCUCGAUGUUGGAUCAGGACACCCCGGUGGUGCAGCCGCCACCAAAGGUUCGUUUGUUCAACGACUAAUGUCCUACGUGAUCUGAGUUCAGACCGGAGCAAUCCAGGUCGGUUUCUAUCUAUGACAUAUCUUUUUCAGUACGAAAGGACCAAAAAGACAGCGCCUACGCCUCCGGCACGCACUGACCAAAAUCUUGAAAUAAACUCAAAGACCACACCCCACUACCCCGCCCAAGACAAGGGUCUUUU